Molecule: transfer RNA, 71 nt
Filed under: Marmota marmota marmota (Alpine marmot)
Lineage: Eukaryota; Metazoa; Chordata; Mammalia; Rodentia; Sciuridae
Also listed under: 1 other name
Rfam family: tRNA
About the family: Transfer RNA (tRNA) molecules are approximately 80 nucleotides in length. Their secondary structure includes four short double-helical elements and three loops (D, anti-codon, and T loops). Further hydrogen bonds mediate the characteristic L-shaped molecular structure. tRNAs have two regions of fundamental functional importance: the anti-codon, which is responsible for specific mRNA codon recognition, and the 3' end, to which the tRNAs corresponding amino acid is attached (by aminoacyl-tRNA synthetases). tRNAs cope with the degeneracy of the genetic code in two manners: having more than one tRNA (with a specific anti-codon) for a particular amino acid; and 'wobble' base-pairing, i.e. permitting non-standard base-pairing at the 3rd anti-codon position.
Source: Rfam by way of RNAcentral
GGGGUUGUGGCUCAGUGGUAGAGAACCUACCUGGCAUGUGUGAGGCACUGAGUUUGAUCCUCAGCACUUCA